CCUACGGGUGGCAGCAGUGGGGGAUAUUGGACAAUGGGGGAAACCCUGAUCCAGCGACGCCGCGUGAGUGAAGAACUCUUUCUGUAUGUAAAGCUCUAUCAGCAGGGAAGAAAGACAUGACGGUACCUGAUUAAUACGCCCCGGCUAACUACGUGCCAGCAGCCGCGGUAAUACGGAGGGGGCAAGCGUUAUCCGGAAUUACUGGGUGUAAAGGGAGCGUAGACGGUAAUGCAAGUCUGGAGUGAAAGGCGGGGGCCCAACCCCCGGACUGCUCUGGAAACUGUGUAACUGGAGUGCAGGAGAGGCAGGCGGAAUUCCUAGUGUAGCGGUGAAAUGCGUAGAUAUUAGGAGGAACACCAGUGGCGAAGGCGGCCUGCUGGACUGUAACUGACGUUGAGGCUCGAAAGCGUGGGGAGCAAACAGGAUUAGAUACCCUAGUAGUC
Molecule: ribosomal RNA, 443 nt
Filed under: uncultured bacterium
Lineage: Bacteria
Description: partial 16S ribosomal RNA
Rfam family: Bacterial small subunit ribosomal RNA
Source: RNAcentral